RNAcentral lists this ribosomal RNA (1884 nucleotides) under Triticum aestivum (bread wheat). RNAcentral describes it as "partial small subunit ribosomal RNA". Lineage: Eukaryota; Viridiplantae; Streptophyta; Magnoliopsida; Poales; Poaceae. The record is from RNAcentral.
AUGGAAGAAGAACCUCCAAUAUUUGCUGAAGAGGAGGUUGGUACUAGUAAGAAGAAGAAGAAGCGCAAACGCGAGACAAUAAAGCAAACUGAAUGCAAGGCGAAAAUGUUGGUGAAGCUGAUAGAUGGGCGAUGGGAGGUGACGCACUUUGUUCGUGACCACAAUCAUCCGCUUGUGAACAAACCGUCAUUGUCCAAAUACUUGAGAUCCCACCAAGGCAUCUCACCUGAUGAAAAGGAGUUUCUGCGCAUCUUGUAUAACUGCAACUUGACUACAGGACGAAUGAUGCAUGUAAUGGCAGAGUUCUAUGGAUCUGAGAUGAUGGUGCCGUUCGGACCAAAGGCAAUACCAAAUCUUUGUACAAGUUUCCAUAGAGAUGACACAAAGGAGGGUGAUCUGAUUGAGACAAUUGCGCACUUCAAGGAUAUACAAAAAAUCGAUCCAAACUUCUUCUAUAAGGUGAAAUAUGAUGAAGAGGACAGAGUUGUCAACAUAUUUUGGGUGGACGGCUUAACUCGAAAAGCUUAUGCGGAGGCGUACCACGAUUGCAUAUCGUUUGACACCACCUACAUGACCAACUUGUACAAUAUGCCGUUCGCGCCCUUCAUAGGAAUAAACCGACAUGGCCAAUCUUUCAUGCUGGGUUGCGCGUUUGUGAGGCGGGAGUUGGCAUCGAGCUUUGAUUGGGUCUUUGGAGCAUUCCUAGAGGCUAUGGAUGGCAAACCUCUUGACAACUUCAUCACCGAUCAGGAUGGUGCGAUGAGGCAGUCAAUACAGAGCAUCUUUCCAACCACCGUGUACCGCUGUUGUCGAUGGCACAUCAUGAAAAAGGCUCAGGAAAAGGUUGGUUGGUUGCUGUGCCGGAAUCCAGGACUCUCUGAUGAUUUCAACAAGUGUGUUGACUUCAGCUUCACUAUAGACGAGUUUGAGCAGAAUUGGGCUGGGUUAAUGAUGAAGUAUGAGGCUAUGACACACACGCACUUUGAGAAGUUGUACGAAUACAUGUCAACUUGGGUGCCAUGCUACUUCAAACACAGGUUCUUCCCCUUCCUCCAGUCUACACAGCGUAGUGAGGGGUUCAACGCCUUUCUCAAAAGAUAUGUGAACCCACACAACUCAAUGCUGAACUUCGUCAAGAAAUAUGAAAAAAUCCAGAACCACAUCCUUGCCAAGGAAGGCUGCAAUGAUUACAGGACAGAACACCUUGAGAUUGAGUUGUGGUCCAACUUCCCAAUAGAGAAGCAAGCUUACAAAACCUAUACUAGAGACCUUUACCACAAGUUCAGAGAAGAGUUUGAGCUGAUUGGACGUUAUAAUGCAUUCCAAGUUGGUGCUGAUGUGUUUGAGCUCAGACCGAACCAGGAAUUUGUUGCAAAAUAUGGUUCUCGAAACUACUUGGUGCAGGCAAGGGUGGAGGAGGGUUCCUAUUUGUGUGAGUGUUGUAAAAUGGACAAGGACGGCAUCCUCUGUUGCCACAUCCUCAAGGUGUUCACCCAUGUUGGUGUUGAUGUCAUACCGGAAAGGUACCUGCUAAGACGGUGGACACCUACUGCUGUACCUAGUGCGCCAGGGACUGGUUAUGAGCAACCGGAUGAAAUGCCUCCUCAAUCAAAGAAGCAGAUAAGGGAGAGGAACAUGAUAUACGAUUUUCGGAAACUAGCAAAGUUUGCGAGUGGUUCUGAUCCAGCACAAGCUAUUGUAUACAAGCAUAUGCGUGCAGCACGUACCGAGAUCGGCCACCUGAACAAGUCCAAGAAAAAGAAAAAACCGACUGCUGCAACGGGGCCAUCAGAUGAUGGCAACCCUCGAGGACCUCCUCCACCUCCAGGCAGCAAUCAGGGGGCUCAUCAUCCAGGCAAUUACCUGCCCCAACUCCUGAUUUAA